This is a long non-coding RNA of Callorhinchus milii (elephant shark), 312 nucleotides long. RefSeq lists it as uncharacterized. The transcript is spliced from 3 exons. Lineage: Eukaryota; Metazoa; Chordata; Chondrichthyes; Chimaeriformes; Callorhinchidae. The record is from RefSeq and is a predicted model, not a curated record.
GCUCUCGAGAACAGGAAGACAGAAUCUUCGCUCCGGGAAAUGGGAAGAAUUAUGCGAUGGAAUAAAACAGAGAUUGGAGUGCCUUUGGAUUAGGAAAGCAGAAAAUUGGUUGGUUCCUGCUCUUGAGGCUGCACAGAAUAACUUGUCACGGCUGAUCAGGUUUCUGGUGUUUGUCAUUAGACCUGUGCUUUAAAAGAAUCGCUGAACACAAUUGUACCAUCUGACACAUAAGAAGUGAACACCACAACCUUACAUCACCCAGUCCAGGCAUGAUGUGGAGUCCUGUAGCGUAUUGGUUGGAGCACUCGCCUC